RNAcentral lists this ribosomal RNA (484 nucleotides) under uncultured bacterium. RNAcentral's name for it is "partial 16S ribosomal RNA". It matches the Rfam family "Bacterial small subunit ribosomal RNA", at positions 30 to 507 of the family's 1533-position model. The record is from RNAcentral.
AUUGAACGCUAGCGGGAUGCUCUACACAUGCGAGUCGAACGGCAGCGCGGACUUCGGUCUGGCGGCGAGUGGCGAACGGGUGAGUAAUGUAUCGGAACGUGCCCAGUAGCGGGGGAUAACUACGCGAAAGCGUAGCUAAUACCGCAUACGCCCUACGGGGGAAAGCAGGGGAUCGUAAGACCUUGCACUAUUGGAGCGGCCGAUAUCGGAUUAGCUAGUUGGUGAGGUAACGGCUCACCAAGGCGACGAUCCGUAGCUGGUUUGAGAGGACGACCAGCCACACUGGGACUGAGACACGGCCCAGACUCCUACGGGAGGCAGCAGUGGGGAAUUUUGGACAAUGGGGGCAACCCUGAUCCAGCCAUCCCGCGUGUGCGAUGAAGGCCUUCGGGUUGUAAAGCACUUUUGGCAGGAAAGAAACGUCGCGGGCUAAUACCCCGUGGAACUGACGGUACCUGCAGAAUAAGCACCGGCUAACUACGUG